RNAcentral lists this long non-coding RNA (3360 nucleotides) under Vigna radiata. Its description in RNAcentral is "long non-coding RNA (VRAD_LNC018483)". Lineage: Eukaryota; Viridiplantae; Streptophyta; Magnoliopsida; Fabales; Fabaceae. The record is from RNAcentral.
CUCGAGCCACUUUGUCCCCCUUCUCGAGCCCUUUUUCCCCUUCUCUCAAGCCCUAUUUUCUCAUUGCAACCAUCUGUCACCGUCAUUCUCCCUCUCUGAUUCACACUCGUUGUCGUCAACCCGUCAUUCUCCCUCGGCGAACCUUCUUCUCCCUCAGCGAACCUUCUCCCUCGGCGAACUUUGUUCUUCAUCUUCUAGCCAUUCUGUGUUAGUGGAACUCUAAUUGUGUUCAGCCGAAGGAGAACUCUAAUUGUGUUAGGGGAACCCUCACAAUCGCAGCGUGGUUGUUUUGGCGAUCUGUUAGUGUUCGUUGUUGUGAAGUUCUUCAAUUGGUAAGUAAUGUUUGUUAAUUUGUAAAUACGUUAAUUUUUCAAAUCGAAAAACCCUAAUCAUGUAAUUUUUUUUUGCUGGGCACGAAAUGAUGUGUGGUUUGGAUUAUGAAACCCUUUGGUGCAUUGUGUAGUGAAGAUACAGAGGGCUUUGAAAGGUAUGUUUCGUUUUAUGUGUUUUCUGUUUCAAUAUAUGGAAGUUUCGCACUUUGCCUUUUUUUUACUCCUCACUUUGUAGUAUACUCGAAGCCUUUUCAGAUUUUUAUUGUUGUCUCGUGCAAAAUUCUCCAAAAUCCUAAUUCAACGCUAAUUUUAUUAUAGUUUGUCAUAAAUAAUAAUUCUAUUACCUUUGCUAUCACUCGACUAAGGAACGUGAUUGGAUGUUUCACCACAAUGAUGCCAUCUGGUCUAAACUUUAUGUAAUAACCUUAUUUUCAGCUGAGGCAAUUGACACAUAUGUAAUGUACACAUGUUGUUCGGAAUUAAAGUUGAAUGAGGUGGGAAACGAACAAGAUAUACUUGGCCAUUAAGUAUAGUCAUAUCAAGAUAGAGACAGAUAAUGCAGUCACAUUCUCAUCACUUAGAUUUUAGCCAUCUAGCUAAAGAAGAAUAACUUAAUAACUCUUUGGAAUUUGAGUAGUUUGUGUGAAGUUCAUGGUUUUACUGUGAAGUUGAAACAACAGUGGAUCAUAUAUAAGAAUAAGGAUGUUGAAGAUCCUAUGAUGCUUUUCCAGUUUGGAAGUACCUUUCAAAGGUUGUUCGUGUGGGUUGUGCUAAUGAGUGUCCUUGCCUGCGGCUUUCUUUAACUUUAUUAUUAGUUUGGUUAUCUCAAAUAGGAUCUGAGCAAGUAGACCUAAUUGUCCCAAAUAAAUAAANGAAUAAAAAGAAUAGAUUUUUAGCAAUUUGAUUCGAUGGGCAUGAAUGUCAAACGCAACCUUCUGUGUUAUUCCGGUAUAAUUUUUAAACUUUCGAUAAGUCAUAACAUUUUUCCUUCGAUUUAAUGCAUUAGUAAGACUUUAUUAAAGCUCAUCUUAUAAUAACAUAAUACUUGGAACAAUUUUAUGAAUGUCUUAUGAACAUGUUAUUUCAAUUUGUUCUCCAGAAUAGUUUAUUGAAAUAGUUUACAAUUUAUGUAUGUAAACAGUUUAAACUAAUAUACUGUUGUUUUUAUAGAAAAGUAGUUUAUAUCAGUUUGUGCAUACCAGAGCUUAUCAGUCAGAGUCAGGGGAAACAANUUAAAAGUUUAAGAUACCUGAUGAUAGACCCUUGGAGCCGUUACAGAAGAAAAAGGAUCCAAUCCUUUACUGAAGUGAUUCAAAAGAACCUCUGAAGUUCCACCAAUAAUGUAAGCACCUCCACUUGCACCUACUACAGCUUUUAGCUUCCCAUUCUGUAUGGACAUGGUAAGAAAUCAUUGCAAGAGAACAAUGCGUACCUUAACUAGUAAUAAUGAAAGAUUUCAAAACCAUUGAUGAGGCUGAAAUUGGGCAGUAGUGGAUGACAUAGAUGAUAACAAUGUAGACAAGGAUAACCAAAAUUAAGAGAGUCAGAUCUUGUUAAAGGAUUGGAUACCUUGAGGGCAAUAGUUGGUGACAUGGAUGAUAGUGGCCGCUUUCCUGGCAUGAUGAAAUUAGCAGGAGCUAGUGGUGGGGUAUCCUCGGAAACAUUUCUAGGCAUGGAAAAAUCAUCCAUCUCAUUGUUCAGUACUAUUCCAGUCCUUGGUGAAAGGAUCUUUGAACCAAAAUAUGAAUUUACAGUAGUAGUCAUGGAAAUGGCAUUUCUCUCAAGAUCUAUUACACAUAAAUGACUUGUACCAUGAUCAUGAAUUUGAUUCCACCUGAAAAGACAGUUAAGCAAAACUGAGAAAUCCAUAUGACACAAAUAAUUUUAGUUAGAAUAUUAAUUUUGACCUUGUUUAUUUGGAUCUAUGUAUAUAUUCAAUCUAGUGACCACACAUAAUUUCAUAACACAGAAUGUCAUGUCAAGUUGUCUCAUCUACUUUGAGGAGGAUCAAAAGUACCUCAAAUUAGCCCUCUUAGAGUGGUCCAUUUAUUUAAAGGAUCAUAUAUUUUGUUCCUACCCCAAGGCAUGGUAAUCAUUUCAUUUAAAAACAUAUUAUAUAUAUAUAUAUAUAUAUAUAUAUAUAUAUAUAUAUAUAUAUAUAAUAUUUCACAAAACACAGGCAGAUAUAAUUUUUGUGCAUUAUGACAUUCAUGCAUUGCCUUUUGAUCUUAUUCUGAUUGGUUGCAUAUCUAAACGUGAUUAAUAAAGAUACAUGGUUAAUCAAAUGAAACUUCACACUGCUAGGUUUGAUAAAAUUGAAAAAUCCAUUGNGNAAAUUCAACAAAAAUUAGAUAAUCAAAACUUGGAUAAUGAAUUUUAUGACGAAGAAAUCUUUGGAAGUGAAAGUGAAGAGGAUAUGGAAGAAGAAGGAUGUAUAAACGUUUUAGAUUAGAAUAGACUUUCAAUGUGUACAUUUUCUUUUAUUUUGGAAAUCUUUAAUAUUCAAGCCAUAAGGCUAAUAUAUGUGCUCUAGUUAAUUAGGAUCGUGCUUCGAGUAACAAUACCUUAUUCUAAACAAUACUUUAUAGUUGGUAUUUUGAGUAUGAUGUUGGUUGAUUAUAUAUCUAGUGAGUGGCACUUUAAAUGUUUGAAAAUUGUUGUGGUUAAUACUGAUUGAUCCUUAUAUUCAAAUCUGAAUGUAUGAUUGAAUUGAUCUAUGAUAGCAUUGUGUUUACAUUAGAAUUAUUAGAAAUCUGCAUAUGUUAGAAGAGAAUGUUGGUCCUUUUUAAAAUUAAGUAUUGUUAUAGUGUAUUUCCAUUUUAGAAGGGAAUCUUGGUACUUUUUAAAAUUAAAUUAUUAAAUGACAUUACUUUUAGGAGGAGCUGUCUGCAAAGUUGUUGGAAUUUUUGGAGUCUCCACACGCUACAACUGACAUUCUACUUGCUGAUAUAGAGCAGGUUUGUUCUUUAUACAUUGUUUUAGCCAAUUAACCCUUAUGCAAAUUAUGUUUUGCAUUGUUGUACUAUUG